Molecule: long non-coding RNA, 779 nt
Organism: Talpa occidentalis (Iberian mole)
Lineage: Eukaryota; Metazoa; Chordata; Mammalia; Eulipotyphla; Talpidae
Exons: 4
Source: RefSeq, a predicted model, not a curated record
GUGGCCCAGGCAGCCAUGGGAUGGGGGGGCAUCUGUCUGAGCAGGAAGUCCAGGGAAGGGGACCCAGGAAGUGACAUCACCUCCGCGAGAUGACAGGGCACACAUGACCUCGGAACCCUGGUCCCCAGGCAGUUGGUUCUGAACCAAACCUGACCCAGCUCACUUUCCUGGUGGGCCUGGACCCGGCACCAUGUUUUGUUGCUGUUUGCCCAGGUCUCCCUGCAGUGGACCCAAAAAAUUUCCCUGAAACUCGUGUCGCACUCUGCUGAAAGGCAUGAGGAGCCUGAGUCGUCGUCUCUGGCCAACAACAGCACUGCCCCUGAGGAAACUAGGGCGGCCCUGGGGACAGAAGGUGUUCUGUGUCCAGGAAGGUGAAGAGAUCCAGAGAGUGCAUUUCCCCGACUGUCCUCCCACAGCCCAGUGUGGGAUCUGUCCCAGCACAGAGCCCUGCUUGAAGUGUACCCACAAUUUGAGAUUGGGGCGCAUGUCCAAAGGAACUGGCUGGAGUACACAAAGCCCCUGGAGGAGCUGUCCGUGGACUUGCCUGGCCCCUGCUGCGCCUUUCCCAUGGGUCUCUACCGGUGGGUGCCUUAGCCUUGUGGCAGGACUUCGGGCCUCAGCGGGCCUGCUUUGGGCAAGCCUGUUUGGCUGGGCCUUACCCAUGAGGGGACAGUUCUCCCAGGUAUCACCAUCCAGGGACUGGAGAGAGGGGUUCUGGGGAGAAAAGACGGAAACCUCACACCCAGGGCAUGCUCCGGAGUCUCCUCUCCUCUGAGCCC